CAGGCCUAACACAUGCAAGUCGAACGCACCUUUGGGUGAGUGGCAGACGGGUGAGUAACACGUGGGAACGUACCCUUUGGUCUGGAAUAACUCUGGGAAACUAGAGCUAAUACCGGAUACGCCCUUUUGGGGAAAGGUUUACUGCCGAAGGAUCGGCCCGCGUCUGAUUAGCUAGUUGGUGGGGUAACGGCCUACCAAGGCGACGAUCAGUAGCUGGUCUGAGAGGAUGAUCAGCCACACUGGGACUGAGACACGGCCCAGACUCCUACGGGAGGCAGCAGUGGGGAAUAUUGGACAAUGGGCGCAAGCCUGAUCCAGCCAUGCCGCGUGAGUGAUGAAGGCCUUAGGGUUGUAAAGCUCUUUUGUCCGGGACGAUAAUGACGGUACCGGAAGAAUAGGCCCCGGCUAACUUCGUGCCAGCAGCCGCGGUAAU
This 433-nucleotide ribosomal RNA is filed under the name uncultured bacterium. Its description in RNAcentral is "bacterial SSU rRNA". It matches the Rfam family "Bacterial small subunit ribosomal RNA", at positions 43 to 524 of the family's 1533-position model. The record is from RNAcentral.